RNAcentral lists this small RNA (769 nucleotides) under Pongo abelii (Sumatran orangutan). RNAcentral describes it as "retained intron". Lineage: Eukaryota; Metazoa; Chordata; Mammalia; Primates; Hominidae. The record is from RNAcentral.
GCUCUCUCAGCCGGGUGCAGGAUGGCAGGAGGUGGCAGCUGUAACUUCCAAGGUGAGACAUCUACCACGGACCCGCUGGGUUAGGUCCUGGCACUUCUUUUCUUGGUCUCCUACCCUCACCUCCCAAGUAACACUUGAAGAGUUGGGAGAGGUCUUGAGGGCAGAAGGAGGAGGAGGAGGAGGCGGUGGCCAUUUGGGCUAGGACAGUAAAGGCAGGUGAGGGUGGGGGCCCUGGCUGGCUGGAGGAGAUUGUAUAAAAGAAAACACGUGACACAAGGAGGAGAGAAGGCAGGCGUUUUGGGAAAGGUCUGGUCCAGGCAGGAAGGUGGGAUGUUUAUUCCAGAGCAAAAUGGCCUUCGUCCGUCUGUUCUAACCCCCAUACCCACUUCUUCCACAGAACUACAAUUAUAACCAGCAUGCGUAUCCCACUGCCUAUGGUGGGCAGUAUUCAGUCAAGACCCCUGCAAAGGGGGGAGUCUCGCCUUCUUCCUCGGCUUCCCGGGUGCAACCUAGCCUGCUGCAGUGGGUGAAGUUUUGGUAGGCAAUUUCUUCCAACCACCACCAAGGCCCCGAAAAGCACUGGUCAUCAGGGAGCUCCUCCCCUUGGCCCCCAGCCUGUGCCAGCCCUGGCCCGGCUGCCAUACCUCUGUUUCCUAGGCUGGGGACCCAGCUUGUCUCUCCUUGUUUCUUCCCACUGCACUGGGGUGCUUCAGUGACCACCAGCCUCAUCGGAUACACCAGCAUCUUUCUGUACCUCCUCCCUUUUGUG